CAGCCGCCGCGGUAAUACGGAGGAUCCAAGCGUUAUCCGGAUUUAUUGGGUUUAAAGGGUGCGUAGGUGGCCUGUUAAGUCAGGGGUGAAAGACGGUAGCUCAACUAUCGCAGUGCCCUUGAUACUGAUGGGCUUGAAUGAACUAGAGGUAGGCGGAAUGUGACAAGUAGCGGUGAAAUGCAUAGAUAUGUCACAGAACACCAAUUGCGAAGGCAGCUUACUAUGGUUUUAUUGACACUGAGGCACGAAAGCGUGGGGAUCAAACAGGAUUAGAGACCCCAGUAGUCCCUGUCUCUUAUAC
Molecule: ribosomal RNA, 301 nt
Filed under: uncultured bacterium
Lineage: Bacteria
Description: partial 16S ribosomal RNA
Rfam family: Bacterial small subunit ribosomal RNA
Source: RNAcentral